RNAcentral lists this long non-coding RNA (2115 nucleotides) under Canis lupus familiaris (dog). Its description in RNAcentral is "lncRNA (ENSCAFG00030020208.1)". The stretch from base 28 to 101 matches the Rfam family "tRNA". Lineage: Eukaryota; Metazoa; Chordata; Mammalia; Carnivora; Canidae. The record is from RNAcentral.
GGCCCAAUAGCUUAAUUUAGCUUACUGUAGAAUAUAGUGUAAGUUUGGUAGCACGAAGAUCUUUGAAUUCUUAAGAUUAGGUUCGAAGCCUAUUAUUCUAGAAAUAAGAGGAUUUAAACCUCUAUUAUUUACUCUAUCAAAGUAACUCUUUUAUCAGACAUAUUUCUUAUGUUUGGGGUGGGAUACUUGCGGUGAUAAUGGGUAAGGCGGCAUGUCAUAUACACAGGGCUAGGGUUAAUGGUAGAAAGUUUUUUCAUAGGAGGUGUAUUAGUUGGUCGUAGCAGAAUCGAGGGUAUGAUGCUCAGAUUCAUAGGAAAGAAAUGGUUAGGAGUGUUUUAAUGAUGAAGUUGAUAGAGUAGAGCUCUGGUAUGAGUGGGUUGUGAAAUGUGCUGAAAAAUAAGAUUGUUGUAAGAAUAUUUAUUAUAAUAAUAUUUGCGUACUCUGCUAGAAAGAAUAGGGCGAAAGGACCUGCUGCAUACUCUACGUUAAAUCCAGAGACUAGCUCGGAUUCUCCUUCAGUUAAGUCGAAGGGGGCUCGGUUUGUUUCUGCUAAGGUAGAGAUAAAUCAUAUUAUGGCCAGGGGUCAGGCAGGGAAAAUUAGUCAUAUGUGUUCUUGAGUAAUGAUAAGUAUGGAUAGUGUGAAGGAUCCAUUUAUUAGUAACACGGAAAGGAGGAUAAUUGCUAGUGUGACUUCAUAUGAAAUUGUCUGGGCAACAGCUUGGAGGGCUCCGAUUAGGGCGUAUUUGGAGUUUGAGGCUCAUCCUGAUCAGAGGAUGGAGUACACGGCGAGGCUUGAUAUUGCUAGUAUGAAUAGGACUCCCAAGUUUAUAUUAAUGAGUGGGUAGGGAGAACGGAAUGAGCAAAUGCCACAAGAGGGAACAGAGAAGCUGUUUCAAUUACAGCACUGCUCAGUCUAGAAGCUACCAAUGGGAUCAUACCACUCGCCCUCAGGAUGGAAACCAAAUUCUUUCCCACUCAGGCCUGGCACAAGUGGAUUCCUGCAGGUCACCUGGCGUCCCCCCCUCUCCUCCUGCUCCUCACAACUAGGACAAACUCCGCAGCUCUGCUCAUGUGGUUGCCUCUGCCUGGAAUGCUCUCCUAGUUCAAAUGUCACUUCCUCCAGGAAGUGACAACUGCAACCUGAUUUUCCCCGAUCUCUGCCACAAGGUCCCUAGUGCUGAGUCUACCACAGCUCUGUUUACAUAGUUUUGUAAUUAUAUAACAGGAGAGGAGACUUAAAAGUCAUCUGCAAUCUGGGCCAAUUGGGCUUAAGAAGAAGGUAGAGCUGUUCUUAGGGGAAAAAUGUUCUGGUUGGAGAAGGGCCCUAAGGAGGGCACUUUUGAUGAGAUGUCCCAGCCAGGCAUUAGAUGUGAGCUGAGUGGACAAGUUUAAGUGACUUCGUGAGAAGUUUCCUUCCCGGAGCUCUGCUGUCUCCCCUCUCCUUGCAGUUAGGAAAGGGCUAGGCCUGGGCUUUUGCGAUCAGAGUUAAAUCCUCGAUUUGGGAAUUCAAACGCUGAAAACGUUAAUUGAAAAAAAAAAAAAAAACCCAGGUUUUGAACUUCAAAAGCCUAAGCCCUGUAGGAUUGGAGCAUCAGCUCUAGAACAUAAAAACAGUAGAUCUGGAGAAACACAUGAUCGGAGCCACUUUUCAGCAGGGGAGACUAGAACUGAGCUGAAGGAGGGCAGCAGGGAGAGAAAAGGCUGGGUGAGGAAGAGACUAGACUCUGGUGAGUGCCUGGGAAACACAAAGGUCCUUGUGUUGUCAAUGUGGGAACUCAGGAGAGAAAGAAGGAAAGCGGCAAAGCCAAGCGUUGCUUUGGAAAGGUGGCAAAGAGGGGGGUAGCAUGGUUCUUCUGGGCUCCUGGCUCUUAGCCCCACGGCAUGGGAGCAAAUGAGUGUAUUCUGUGCACCCCAGGGUGGGGGGCGGCACAGGGGCGACCGGGAGGGAGAUGGAGCUGGAGAGGCUUGCGGUUGGGAAUAAGGGAAGACCUGGCCACCCUCUCAAGCACAUACAGCUCAGGACAUGCCCCCAAGAUCAAGCACCCCAAGCCCUAGACUCCCCACCACUGCCAUGACUCCUAGACCUCGACACGCACCUGGCAGAAAGAAGGAGGA